AUUGAACGCUAGCGGCAUGCCUUACACAUGCAAGUCGAACGAGUGGCGGACGGGUGAGUAAUAUAUGGGAACCUGCCUGAUAGCGGGGGAUAACUACUGGAAACGGUGGCUAAUACCGCAUACCAUCAGAUGUGCCCAUAUGGGAUUAGCUAGUGGGUGGGGUAACGGCUCACCAAGGCGACGAUCCCUAGCUGGUUUGAGAGGAUGACCAGCCACACUGGAACUGAGACACGGCCCAGACUCCUACGGGAGGCAGCAGUGGGGAAUAUUGCACAAUGGGGGAAAGCCUGAUGCAGCCAUGCCGCGUGUAUGAAGAAGGCCUUCGGGUUGUAAAGUACUUUUAGCGGGGAGGCGGUAUCCGCAGAAGAAGCACCGGCUAACUACGUGCCAGCAGCCGCGGUAAUUC
RNAcentral lists this ribosomal RNA (406 nucleotides) under uncultured bacterium. RNAcentral describes it as "partial 16S ribosomal RNA". It matches the Rfam family "Bacterial small subunit ribosomal RNA", at positions 30 to 526 of the family's 1533-position model. The record is from RNAcentral.